Molecule: transfer RNA, 82 nt
Filed under: Longibaculum muris
Lineage: Bacteria; Bacillati; Bacillota; Erysipelotrichia; Erysipelotrichales; Coprobacillaceae
Rfam family: tRNA
About the family: Transfer RNA (tRNA) molecules are approximately 80 nucleotides in length. Their secondary structure includes four short double-helical elements and three loops (D, anti-codon, and T loops). Further hydrogen bonds mediate the characteristic L-shaped molecular structure. tRNAs have two regions of fundamental functional importance: the anti-codon, which is responsible for specific mRNA codon recognition, and the 3' end, to which the tRNAs corresponding amino acid is attached (by aminoacyl-tRNA synthetases). tRNAs cope with the degeneracy of the genetic code in two manners: having more than one tRNA (with a specific anti-codon) for a particular amino acid; and 'wobble' base-pairing, i.e. permitting non-standard base-pairing at the 3rd anti-codon position.
Source: Rfam by way of RNAcentral
GCCCGAGUGGCGAAAUUGGUAGACGCACAGCACUCAAAAUGCUGCGAUCUAGGUCAUGUCGGUUCGAGUCCGACCUCGGGUA